ACCGGAAGUGGUCAUCAGCAAGUGUGGAGCCAAACGACAAGAUUCUCAGAGGGCGGAGCCAGAGAGCAGUGAUUGGUCAGACCAAAGAAGACAGCACGCUAGCGUAUCUAGGCUUCUACACCAUCUAUGAUCCGCACGUCCGGUAGCAUCUCUGGCUGCUGUUGACCUUGUUUUUGGAGUAAAACACGGUGGAAGCUGAAUUAGUGAGGAUGACUCCUGCUCCUGUCAUCUCUAAACUCCUCACACAUCUUUACCUGGACAUGAGGAAAAUCACUCCUGUAGAAUGCAGUGGUUCAUCAGAACCUCUGGGGAUGUCCUGUGGAUUCUGUGGGUCCUGUGGGUUGCAGGGUGGGUCCUACCUAGACCAGGCUGAUCCUGGACCAUCCCACAGAUGCUCAAUCAGAUCUGGAUGUGGGGAGUGUGGAACCCAGAUGUUCAGAGGGAGAUGAUGCCACAUCUGGUCCAGCUGAUGGAAGGUCUUGAAGUUCUCUGACUGGCCUCGACUGAAGAUGGUCGUCUCACUGGAUUUAAGGUUCAGAUUCUCAGUAACAAACUCCACCAAUGAGCCAACAGGGAAGCUUUAGGUUUAUUAAAUGUUGCUAUGAAGGUUUCGCUGUUUUUCUUUGUGAAUGCAAUGUGCUCCAACUGAAACUUGAAUUAGAACUUAGAAGUAAAUCCUUCCAUCUGAAAAUAUUUAGUUGCAUUAAUAACCUCAUAACAUUCUAAUUUUUAUUCCAGUCUUGGUUGGAAAUAGAAUCUCUGCAUUGAUUCAGGUAAAAACUGAACUUCACAGCAUGUUGAAGCAAAACAACCAGAUGAAAACUGUGAUUCAAUUCAAUUCAAUUCAGUUCAAUUUUAUUUAUAUAGCGCCAAUUACAGUCAAAUUGUCUCGAGACGCUUUUCAGAACCCAUAUGCCUGACCCCCAGAGCAAGCCAAAAGGCAACAGUGGCAAGGAAAACACCCUUUUAACAGGGAAAAAAACCUCGAGCAGAACCCGGCUCUAAUGUGGGGGGACCCAUCUGCCUGCUGGCUGGGUGGGUUGAGAGGGACAGAAGAGGUAGAGAGGUAGAGAUAGAGGGAUAGAGGUAGAGAUAGAGGGAUAGAAGUAGAGGGGUAAAGGUAGAGGGGAAGGGGUAGAGGUAGAGAUAGAGAGGUGGGGGGGGGACACAAGGACCAUAAAACACACAGUAUAAUAGAUGCAUGAUAAGACAUGAUAUAUGCAAAGUACAACUAACAUGGAAACUAAUUAUAGUUUACUGCUAUGGUGUACAGCUCUGGCAUUAAAUAUACUACAUAUAUAGCUGGUGGUAAUUUCAAAAAUAUGUAGAUGAGCAAAUCAAGUACAGUAAGGGCAAUGCAGAGUAGAUCAGUGGAAAUGGGCAGCUGGAGGUGGGAGAACAACCACACAUCUGAAGCAUCCAGCUCUGGGACCAGGGACACUCGGAGAAAGGACACAGAAAGAAACAGAGUGAGUGUAAUGCAAUAAUACAUAGUAAAUACAUAGGUAGUUAGAGAAGGGCUCAGUGCAUCAAGAGAGGUUCCCCAGCAGCCUAGGCCUAUAGAAUUUAGUCUCAUAAUCACAGACAAUAAAUAUUAUCUGAAAGUUGGGUUAUUGUUGUUUAUCAGCACAAUACAAAAAGAUUAAUGUUAGAAAUAUUCCAGUUAAGACUCUAAAAUAUCAUGAUUUAUGUAAAUUUACCUCAAUAAUAUGAAUGUUCAGGUUAAGAUUGUACAGUGAUAUUUAUGAUGUAAGUUUAGCUGAUUAAAGUUUAUGACUCUGCACUACAAUAUUAUUAUUUAAAUUUACAUCAUUAUUAUAAUAUUUCGGGUCAGACUCUACAGUAUUGAGAUUAAGAAAUCAAAUAUUCUAUAAAAUGUAAAUACACUGAACUCAUUUGGAUAUAUUUAAGUGAGACUCUAUAAUAUUAUUUGACACAAAUCUAUCUAAAUCAAAAUUUUAAUGAUGUUUUACUCAAACAUUUACUGGACUGAUUUAAAUAUUAAAAUCACUCUUUUCUAAUCCUCUGCUGUACGUUCAAACCUGAGGCCUUAAAUAGAAACACACAAGUAUCUGUUUGAAGGAACUUCUGCAGAGUCCUGGUUCCAGAACAUGAUGAUAGAAUUAUAGACAAACUUUAACAAAAGCUGCCUGAGAGUUUACAGGUUUUUAUGUUGGAUUUCUUCAGUAAUUUAAUGAGCGUUAUCAGCAAAAAUCAAGUGUUCAUUUGAUGACCUUCAUUUCCUAAAACAUCCAGAAUUGGAGCUCAUAUCUUUGGCAGCUGUAAAGUUUCUGCUCCUUCAAAGUUCACAACACAAUGAAUGAAUUCCUAAAACACUCUCAAUGCUGGAGAGCGUUUGAUGCUGAAGCAGUGAUCAGUUUUUCAGUUUCUUGUCUGGAGAUGCACAAUGAGGGACGUCUGCAGAGACUGAGAAAGAGUCUCACCACAUCCUGACAUGAGGAAAAAGACUUUAUUGAAGACUACAAUGAGAAAAACUAUCAGACAGCAGACGGCUGCAUUCAAGUCUGUAGCUGCUGAAUUCAUGGAUGAAUCAUCUGGCACUAGAGAAGAAGACCAUCAAACAUCCACAUCAGCUGAUGGAGGUCCAAGAGUCUCACCAAACAAACAACCGACAGAAUGAAGACCUCAUUUCUGAUUGGACGGCCUCCUAUUCAGCCACAUGUGUGAACAAAUGCCUCUAAGUUGAUUUGUUUUCUAAAAUAAAUCUAGUUUGAGUCCUAAUCUAUGCCUGUGUGUUUGCUUCUUUACACCACUGUUGACAGUUUAGGCUGUUAGAUUGUUCCAGAUAAGACAAGUACAAGAUUCUUCAGAGCCGUUCUACCACGAGCCUGACAGGAAGAACUCCAACAGCUACUGAAUGUUCCUGUGGUCCCCUCAAGGCUACAGGAGGAGUCCUACGAGGACGAGCCGGUCCACCUGAUGGUGGCCAGUCGCUGCGGUUCAAAGCCAACACCGACUACGUGGACUUCUACUGGACCACACGGAGGCCUUCAAACCGGACCAACAAGUUCACCGACUCCCCGACUCGUGGGUCUGAGGAUGCCGCCGAGCCUCGGCCCAGCCGGCCUCCUGUCUGUGGGUGUUUGAGUGCUGAGAGGUUUGUGGAUGCAUGUGAACGUGUCUGUGUUGAAACAGCAGCUUUGGACUCAGUAAUGCCGGGAAAAACCAAGAGCUCCUUUAUUUGUGACUUCCACUAAAAAAAACUGCUGAAAAUGAGUUUGCCAGGGUUCUGACUGAUAAGAGAUUAUUAAAUAAUGAAAAUAAUUGUUUAAAUAUUCCUUUAAACAAUCCUUUUAGGUCUACAUUUCCUUUACACUGAUUUCUUGGCAGAUGUACAAGUAUUUUGGGUGGAAUAUACCAUUAAGCCUGAUGUUCAAGGGUUCUUCUGGGAAUAUACCAUUAAACCAACCUUUUAGGUAAAUGUUCCAGGGUGUUGGGUAGAAUAUACCAUCAGAUCAACCUUUUAGGUCUACACUGGAAGAUUUUAGAGUAGAAUAUUACUCCAAACCAUCCUUUAGGCCUAUAUUUAAGGUGGAAUACUCCUUUACGUCAAGAUUUUUUGGUCGACAUUGAAGGAUUUUAGGUGGAAUAUUCCUUUGAAUGAACUUUUUAAGUUUAUGUUAAAGGAUGUUGGGUGGAAUAUACCAUCAGACCAACCUCCAAGGUGUACAGUAGUGAAUUUUAGGUGGAAUAUACCAUUAAACUCACCUUUUAGGUCGACAUUGGAGGAUUUUAGGUGGAAUUUUCUUCCAAACCGUCUUUUAGUCUACAUUUAAGGAUGUUUAGGAUGGUAUAUUCUUCCAAACCAACUUCUCAGGUCUACAUUUCAGGUGGAAUAUUCCUCCAUACUAACUUUUUUGGUCUACAUUGAAGGAUUUUUUCUAAACCACCCUUUGGGGUCUAUAUUUGAGGUUUUAGGUGGAAUAUUCCUUUUAACCAGCCCCUCAGGUCUCUUUGAGGAUUUUGGAUGGAAUACUCGGUUAAACCAACAUUUUAGGUGCAUGUCCGAGGAUUUUUGGUGGAAUGUUCCUUUAAGGUGGAUGUUUGAGGACCUUGUAGGUUGAAUACUUCCUGAAACCAACCUUUUAGGUCAACAUUCAAAGAUUUAAGGUGGAAUAUUCCUUUAAACCAACCUAAAUUUCAUGUUUUAAUCAUUAUCAAGUGAGAAACCUCAAUCCAGACUCCUCAUAAUGACAUUUGAGAUUUAUGCUGCUGUUAUUUGUUUCGUCCAGACUAAAUGACAGAAAUCCACAACUGUAAUUUUAUUUCAGGACUCGGUUAUUAAAUGUCAAAACAAUCCAUGUGACUCUAAAAACUCAACAGCUUUACAAACUCUAAGAUCAAACUCUCCACAAGGAUCCAGAAUAAGUUGGACUUAUACAUGAGAGCUUUAAUUAUUCUUCAUCUACUUCCUGAAAAGUUUGGUCAAUAAAAAAGACAAAAACUAAUAUUUUCAGCUGAACUAAAGACAGACUUUGUGAUUUUUCUGCUCACAUGUUGUGUUGUAAACUUCCUCUUUCAAAUAAAUAGCUGCCUAACCCCCUGGAAACCAGCAUUUGUCCUGUUUUUGUGUUGCUCCUCGGCGACCCUAGACAGCGGGGUCGUAAUGUUUUUUGAGCAACACACCAUACUAUGACGUUUUUACAAUGAUGGUUCUACUAUGGAACCAGUUUGACAUGUUCAGGUGUUCUUUGUGUGAAAACUCAGAGAUUUCAGGUAUCAGAAGGUGGUUUU
Long non-coding RNA from Amphiprion ocellaris (clown anemonefish), 4755 nucleotides. RefSeq lists it as uncharacterized. The record is from RefSeq and is a predicted model, not a curated record. NCBI's taxonomy places the organism in Eukaryota, Metazoa, Chordata, Actinopteri, Pomacentridae. The transcript is spliced from 5 exons.